GUCCGGGCGUCGAGCGGCUGGUCGGAGCGCUCCAGGAUGGCGUUGAGCCGGACCCGGGGCCGGGCCACCCGGUUCGGGUCCAGCCCGGGAA
RNAcentral lists this transfer RNA (91 nucleotides) under Plantactinospora endophytica. RNAcentral's name for it is "tRNA-Pro". Lineage: Bacteria; Bacillati; Actinomycetota; Actinomycetes; Micromonosporales; Micromonosporaceae. The record is from RNAcentral.